Molecule: ribosomal RNA, 484 nt
Filed under: uncultured bacterium
Lineage: Bacteria
Description: partial 16S ribosomal RNA
Rfam family: Bacterial small subunit ribosomal RNA
Source: RNAcentral
GACGAACGCUGGCGGCGUGCUUAACACAUGCAAGUCGAACGAUGAACCCGGAGCUUGCUCCGGUGGAUUAGUGGCGAACGGGUGAGUAACACGUGAGUAACCUGCCCUUGACUCUGGGAUAACUGCGGGAAACUGUAGCUAAUACCGGAUACGACCCUCGGCGGCAUCGCCAGGGGGUGGAAAGAAUUUCGGUCAAGGAUGGACUCGCGGCCUAUCAGCUAGUUGGUGAGGUAACGGCUCACCAAGGCGACGACGGGUAGGCGGCCUGAGAGGGGGACCGGCCACCCUGGGACUGAGACACGGCCCAGACUCCUACGGGAGGCAGCAGUGGGGAAUAUUGCACAAUGGGCGGAGGCCUGAUCCAGCAACGCCGCGUGAGGGAUGACGGCCUUCGGGUUGUAAACCUCUUUCAGCAGGGACGAAGCGCAAGUGACGGUACCUGCAGAAGAAGCACCGGCCAACUACGUGCCAGCAGCCGCCGUAA